Drosophila montana is the source of this 1693-nucleotide RNA transcript. It is a transcript of the gene named Alkaline phosphatase 13, with no coding region annotated. The record is from RefSeq and is a predicted model, not a curated record. NCBI's taxonomy places the organism in Eukaryota, Metazoa, Arthropoda, Insecta, Diptera, Drosophilidae. The transcript has 3 exons.
UAUAGUCGCAGUUAGUUAGGGGCAUAUUCCAUGGCCAUGUCGCAGCGGAUGAGAAGGUUCUGCUUCCAGCUGCGUCUCAAGUCGACGCAAUUGUUCAUUUUGGCCGGUUCGGUGGUGUUGUCGCUGCUCGUGUCGCUGCUCUGCAUUGGCUUCACCAUACGCUACGAGGUGGAGCACGAGGUGGCCAAUGUGGGCGACGUGGACUACUGGAAGGAUGCGGUAUCUGCCGAACAGAAGCCCUGGUACGACAAGGGCAUUGAGGAGCUGAAGCGGGCGCUGCGUGGGCACUCCAAGCUCAGCCAGCCACGAAAUGUGUGGCUGCUAAUGAUCCAAGGCAUUGAUGCGCCCGCCCUGGCGGCGGCACGUUUCAACGGCUCACAGCAUUCGGGCUACAUCUGGGAUCGAUUCCCGCAUGCGGCACGGCUGAAGAACAGCUGCAGCAACAGUUCGCCCUGCGAUGCGUCGGCCGUUUUCCGUGCACUGUGGACGGGUGUGCCGCUGGCAGCUGCUCAGCGUGUGCGGAGCAACUGCAGCGCGGCGCCCGGCCAGCUGCUCAGCGUGCUGCGUCAGGCCCAGCUGGCGGGUCUGCGGACCGGCUUCGUGACCAAUCAACGUCUGACGGGCGCCACGGGCGCCGCUCUGUACGCGGAGGUGGCGCAAAGCAGCUGGGAAUGCGAUGGCCUGAUGCCGAUGGGUGCCAUUGAGUCCGGCUGCCAGGAUGUGGCCCAGCAGCUCAUCUCAGGUGCAACGGGCCAGGCGUUAAAUGUGCUGCUAGGCGGAGGCCGGCAGAUGUUCAAUUCCAAAGUGCCCACAUUUGCGUGGGAUCCGUCGGAUGAGCUGCUGUGCCACGCCAGAGCUGGACGCAAUUUGUUGCGCGAUUGGCGCAAUCAAAAACUGAAAAGCAAGCCCAUGCCUCGCUUUGAGCUGGUGCAGCAUGAGCAGGAGCUCAGCUCUAUCAAUGGCAGCAGCCUGGACUAUCUGCUGGGCGUGCUUGCCAAUGGGGAUUUGAGCGCCAACUCCCGUGCGCCCACGUUGCAAUUGAUGCUAAAUCGAACGCUGCAGGUGCUCAGGCGUCCGGGUGUGGGGCAUCUGUUAAUUGUGGAGCACCAUGUGCAGCCGCACAUGGUUGCCCGGGAGCAGCUGCAGCUGCUCAAUGCGACCCUGGCCCGUUUGAUGGGCCAAAAGGAUCUGCUGACAAUGGUGCUGCUCACAAAUGGCAAUUAUCUCAGCUCCAGUCGGGAUGUCAGCGGGGAAACGCAGCUGGUCAGCACUUUGGAGGAGUCUCUUCAAGGGCCCGAGCUGCAGUUGCAGCGCAGGCUGCAGCAGCUUCCAUCUGAGAGUCUGCUCUUCGCACAGGGACCCAAGUCCCUGCUCUUCUAUGGCGUACACGAUGAAACCUAUCUGGCUCAGGCUCUGUCAUAUGCCUUGGGCAUUGACGUUUUUGGCAGGCAGCUGUAGCAGCAGCUAAGAUAAACCCCACAAUCUGUUUACAUCCACAUCUGUUAGCUCAGCAAUUGUUUGUAGCAGUAGCAGGAGUAUGCAGAAGGAACCAUUUCCGAUCCCACAAAGGGCUUGAAAUAUUUAUCAGGACGAUGAGCUGCGUCGAUCUGGGCAUAUUCGCCUCGCAGACCGUCGGUCUGUCCGUUUGUGUCAACGUCGAUCGAGAACGAGCCUUACAUUUUUCAUCCGAUAU